GCUUGAGUUGACAGGGCUGGAAGAAGAUUUGGCUGUGUUAAAAUCUCAAAUGUGGAAAGUAAAGAUAAGGUGAUCUCAAGAUUUAACGGUUCAUGGAUCGGGGAAUUAUAAGGGUUUUUAAUACUAGAGAUAAUAGCUCUUUUUCUGAAGUGGUGAAAGGUAAGCCCAAGAGUCCCAUUCAGAAUGAGAGAAGCCCUUGAAAACGAGUGGCUUCAAAACCAAAGGAGUGUUGCUGGUUUUGCAUCUAACACGCAGUGCAUUCCAACAAUAUACGAAAGUAGGAAAAGUGAAAGUGUUUUUAUGUGAUGGGUGGUAACAUGGUU
RNAcentral lists this unclassified non-coding RNA (323 nucleotides) under Hevea brasiliensis (rubber tree). Lineage: Eukaryota; Viridiplantae; Streptophyta; Magnoliopsida; Malpighiales; Euphorbiaceae. The record is from RNAcentral.